GGGACGUUAGCUCAGUUGGCUAGAGCGCUUCGUUGACAUCGAAGAGGUCAGGGGUUCAAGUCCCUUACGUCCCA
RNAcentral lists this transfer RNA (74 nucleotides) under Chloroflexota bacterium. RNAcentral's name for it is "Chloroflexi bacterium tRNA-Val". It matches the Rfam family "tRNA". Rfam says of the family: Transfer RNA (tRNA) molecules are approximately 80 nucleotides in length. Their secondary structure includes four short double-helical elements and three loops (D, anti-codon, and T loops). The record is from RNAcentral. Lineage: Bacteria; Bacillati; Chloroflexota.